UGGGGAAUUUUGGACAAUGGGCGAAAGCCUGAUCCAGCCAUGCCGCGUGCAGGAUGAAGGCCUUCGGGUUGUAAACUGCUUUUGUACGGAACGAAAAGACUCCUUCUAAUAAAGGGAGUCCAUGACGGUACCGUAAGAAUAAGCACCGGCUAACUACGUGCCAGCAGCCGCGGUAAUACGUAGGGUGCGAGCGUUAAUCGGAAUUACUGGGCGUAAAGCGUGCGCAGGCGGUUAUAUAAGACAGAUGUGAAAUCCCCGGGCUCAACCUGGGAACUGCAUUUGUGACUGUAUAGCUAGAGUACGGCAGAGGGGGAUGGAAUUCCGCGUGUAGCAGUGAAAUGCGUAGAUAUGCGGAGGAACACCGAUGGCGAAGGCAAUCCCCUGGGCCUGUACUGACGCUCAUGCACGAAAGCGUGGGGAGCAAACAGG
RNAcentral lists this ribosomal RNA (429 nucleotides) under Bacillota bacterium. RNAcentral describes it as "Firmicutes bacterium partial 16S ribosomal RNA". It matches the Rfam family "Bacterial small subunit ribosomal RNA", at positions 355 to 776 of the family's 1533-position model. The record is from RNAcentral. Lineage: Bacteria; Bacillati; Bacillota.